This 889-nucleotide long non-coding RNA is filed under the name Ananas comosus (pineapple). Its description in RNAcentral is "long non-coding RNA (ACOM_LNC020568)". Lineage: Eukaryota; Viridiplantae; Streptophyta; Magnoliopsida; Poales; Bromeliaceae. The record is from RNAcentral.
UAUAUAUAUAUAUAUAUAUAGAGAGAGAGAGAGAGAGAGAGAGAGAGAGAGAGAGUUGGACUGGGCUACUAUUAGUAGCAAAAUUCCAUUGUUGCUACCAAUUUUUUAGCCUUUGGAUCAACUAUUUUCAUUAUUUCUAACCAUUGGAUUAAAUACUAUAACCCAGUGGGGACCACCCUAGGGGACCACUCAACUGUAAUCGACUAAUAUCAUCCUGACCCUACAAUGUUUCAUCCAAGGGUUAAAAACUUGAUAGCAAAAAGAGCGUUUUACUAUUAAUAGUAUUCCAGCUUAAUUCUCUCUCUCUCUCUCUAUAUAUAUAUAUACUCUCUCUCUCUCUAUAUAUAUAUAUAUAGAGAGAGAGAGAGGAGUUUCAUUGUCAUCUUUUUGUUUUUGAUGAUAAACUUCAGAAUCGACGAUCGGCAUCGUUGAAUAUGAUUUAGAUUAUGUGAAGUUUCUAGAAAUUAAACAUCGUAUUUUUUUUUAUAUUGUUUUCUCAUACAUCAAAUGGACACAAAAUAAACUGUUGUUGAAAAUAAUUAAAUAUACUUCAAAAAAUAAUGAUAACAAUAUUCCGGUACUCACCGACCGUCUCUAGAGCAAGUGGCAAAGGGCUUGGUGGUUGGUACCUGAGACCCAAGUUCGAAUCCUAGUUGAUUCACAUUUCCAGCUAAGUUUAUUUCUAAAUGAAAUAAACGAAGCGGGUAGUGUGCUACCUAUCUCUCAAAAAAAUAUUUCAGUACUCAGGAUCAUGUAGAUUUUUCUUUUCUAAAUAGUUUAAAAUAUUUUCUAAUAAAAAUCUGACCGAUUUGGAUUCCUUUCCACUGUUAAAAGAACAAACUUCUCUUAUCGACCAUUAAAAUUACAAAUCAAAAUAUUUGAAAUUUAU